Molecule: ribosomal RNA, 440 nt
Filed under: uncultured bacterium
Lineage: Bacteria
Description: partial 16S ribosomal RNA
Rfam family: Bacterial small subunit ribosomal RNA
Source: RNAcentral
CCUACGGGAGACAGCAGUGGGGAAUAUUGGACAAUGGAGGAAACCCUGAUCCAGCGACGCAGCGUGAGUGAAGAAGGAUUUCGGUACGUAAAGCUCUAUCAACAGGAGAGAAAAUGACGGUACCUGACUAAGAAUCCCCGGCUAACUACGUGCCAGAAGCGGCGGUAAUACGUAGGGGGCCAGCGUUAUCCGGAUUUACUGGGUGUAAAGGGAGCGUAGACGGCAGCGCAAGUCUGGAGUGAAAUGCUGGGGCCUAACCCCGGAACUGCACUGGAAACUGUGAAGCUGGAGUGCAGGAGAGGUAAGCGGAAUUCCUGGUGUAGCGGUGAAAUGCGUAGAUAUCAGGAGGAACACCGGCGGCGAAGGCGGCUUACUGGACUGUAACUGACGUUGAGGCUCGAAAGUGUGGGGAGCAAACAGGAUUAGAUACCCUAGUAGUC